RNAcentral lists this ribosomal RNA (468 nucleotides) under uncultured bacterium. RNAcentral's name for it is "partial 16S ribosomal RNA". It matches the Rfam family "Bacterial small subunit ribosomal RNA", at positions 28 to 507 of the family's 1533-position model. The record is from RNAcentral.
GACGAACGCUGGCGGCGUGCUUAACCCAUGCAAGUCGAACGGAAAGGCCCUGCUUUUGUGGGGUGCUCGAGUGGCGAACGGGUGAGUAACACGUGAGUAACCUGCCCUUGACUUUGGGAUAACUUCAGGAAACUGGGGCUAAUACCGGAUAGGAGCUCCUGCUGCAUGGUGGGGGUUGGAAAGUUUCGGCGGUUGGGGAUGGACUCGCGGCUUAUCAGCUUGCUGGUGGGGUAGUGGCUUACCAAGGCUUUGACGGGUAGCCGGCCUGAGAGGGUGACCGGCGACAUUGGGACUGAGGGAGGGACCAGACUCCUACGGGAGGCAGCGGUGGGGAGUCUUACACAAUGGGCGGGAGCCUGAUGCAGCAACGCCGGGUGCGGGAUGACGGCCUUCGGGUUGUAAACCGCUUUCGCCUGUGACGAAGCGUGAGUGACGGUAAUGAGUAAAGAAGCACCGGCUAACUACGUG